Molecule: transfer-messenger RNA, 400 nt
Filed under: Prevotellaceae bacterium
Lineage: Bacteria; Pseudomonadati; Bacteroidota; Bacteroidia; Bacteroidales; Prevotellaceae
Rfam family: transfer-messenger RNA
About the family: Bacterial tmRNA, also known as 10Sa RNA or SsrA, is named for its dual tRNA and mRNA-like properties. Its role is to liberate the mRNA from a stalled ribosome.
Source: RNAcentral
GGGGCUGCUUGGUUUUGACAGCAGGAUGACUUGAGGUGUAAGCAUGCCGAGCGUUGUACGGAAGCUCGCAAAUAUCAACGUGCAAGCCAUAACAGGCGAAACAAACUAUGCACUCGCUGCUUAAACCGUUAGACGAUUUGAGCUUCAUUGGCGGCUCAAGGAGCCUGCCGACGAGUAUCCCGCCUUACGUUCCGCUCAUUAACGUAAGCGCUCAUGGGGUAUCAUCAUUUUGAGAUAGCCGGAUAAACACCCCUAAUAUCCGGUGAAAAUUUAGGGGAUAAGGGUUACGUUCGGCAGCGGCUCGCCUGACGCAACCUCGAAAACCGAAGAGCCGAUAAGCAUGUAGAAAGCGCGUUAAGACCUUGUUUGGACGCGGGUUCGACUCCCGCCAGCUCCACCA